UAUAGAAUUACUAUGCCAUUCAAAGUAUAGAAUAUUUGAUAUUUUCAAUUUUUUGAACUUAGAUAAAAAUUAUACCCUAUGAUUGAGUCGUCUCCACAAGAUAACAGUAUUAAUGCAAAUAUUAGAAAUGAUUAAAUAACUAAUCUAAGGGCUAAAAGUCUAAUCCUCUAUACUUUAGAUAGUAUAGUAGCUAUAAUCUAUAUAUAUAUAGAGUAAAAUUAUUGUGCUAUUAAGAGUAUAGUAAUUUUUGUGCUCCUAAUUUUCUAAUCAUUUAUUGUGCUAUUAAGAGUAUAGCAGUUUUUGUGCUCCUAAUUUUCUAAUCAUUUAUUAAUUUUGAUGGAUAAUUAGGAUGAGAAAUACAAGAGAAAUUAAGAAAAAAU
This 380-nucleotide long non-coding RNA is filed under the name Ananas comosus (pineapple). RNAcentral describes it as "long non-coding RNA (ACOM_LNC040408)". The record is from RNAcentral. Lineage: Eukaryota; Viridiplantae; Streptophyta; Magnoliopsida; Poales; Bromeliaceae.